Molecule: ribosomal RNA, 925 nt
Filed under: uncultured bacterium
Lineage: Bacteria
Description: bacterial SSU rRNA
Rfam family: Bacterial small subunit ribosomal RNA
Source: RNAcentral
ACGCUGGCGGCGUGCCUAAUACAUGCAAGUAGAACGCACAGGAUGCACCGUAGUUUACUACACCGUAUUCUGUGAGUUGCGAACGGGUGAGUAACGCGUAGGUAACCUGCCUGGUAGUGGGGGAUAACUAUUGGAAACGAUAGCUAAUACCGCAUAAGAACAUUUACUGCAUGGUAGAUGUUUAAAAGGUGCAAAAGCAUCACUACCAGAUGGACCUGCGUUGUAUUAGCUAGUUGGUGAGGUAACGGCUCACCAAGGCAACGAUACAUAGCCGACCUGAGAGGGUGAUCGGCCACACUGGGACUGAGACACGGCCCAGACUCCUACGGGAGGCAGCAGUAGGGAAUCUUCGGCAAUGGGGGGAACCCUGACCGAGCAACGCCGCGUGAGUGAAGAAGGUUUUCGGAUCGUAAAGCUCUGUUGUUAAGGAAGAACGUGUGUGAGAGUGGAAAGUUCACACAGUGACGGUACUUAACCAGAAAGGGACGGCUAACUACGUGCCAGCAGCCGCGGUAAUACGUAGGUCCCGAGCGUUGUCCGGAUUUAUUGGGCGUAAAGCGAGCGCAGGCGGUUAGAUAAGUCUGAAGUGAAAGGCAGUGGCUCAACCAUUGUAGGCUUUGGAAACUGUUUAACUUGAGUGCAGAAGGGGAGAGUGGAAUUCCAUGUGUAGCGGUGAAAUGCGUAGAUAUAUGGAGGAACACCGGUGGCGAAAGCGGCUCUCUGGUCUGUAACUGACGCUGAGGCUCGAAAGCGUGGGGAGCGAACAGGAUUAGAUACCCUGGUAGUCCACGCCGUAAACGAUGAGUGCUAGGUGUUAGGUCCUUUCCGGGACUUAGUGCCGCAGCUAACGCAUUAAGCACUCCGCCUGGGGAGUACGACCGCAAGGUUGAAACUCAAAGGAAUUGACGGGGGCCCGCACAAGCGG